CUGUUUGCACAGGUGAAUGACAAUGAUCUCUCGAAAGAACUUUACAAAAAAUACAGCAGUGUACAUAGGCGGAAAGUUCGCGUGUGGCAGAUGAUAUGUGUUUUGUCAAGCUAUGUAGAGGAAGACAUAGUUGAGAAAGUGACAUCUACUGUUCACACCUGUCUUUAUAGAAAUAACCUACCUGCUGUCCGGCAGUACUUGGAGACGUUUGCUAUACUUAUUUACUUAAAAUUUCCAACACUGGCUGAAGCACAGCUUGUUCCUAUUUUUCAUGACCACGGAAUGCGACAACAGGCACUAUCUUCAUAUGUUUUUAUAGCAGCAAACGUGAUCCUCCAUUCAGGGGAGCUGGUUGUCCAGAGAAAGCAUCUUAAUCAACUGCUUCCUCCAAUAAUUUCAUUCUUAACAUCCCAUCAUCACAGUCUACGUAGUUUCACUCAGCUACUUGUCCACACUGUUUUUUCCAAGUUGUGGCAUAUUUUGCAACUAGAAAGCUCAGAAAAUCCAUCCAUCGAGAGGAGGUGCUUUCAAGAUUUGAAGAAGUAUCUGGCAGAGAAUACCGACUGCGCAAGGCUAAGAGUUUCAAUCGAAGGUUUCCUUGAUGUUUUUGAUCCUGAUAUAUCUGGGACUCCACCGGGAAUAUUUACAGCUCGCAUUGAGUCGUCUGGCUUUGAAUGUGUUCCUGUGUCGGUGUUGGAGCGAGUAAAUAACUUUUUGAACGACGUGAGGGAGGAGCUGAGGCAUUCUAUGAUAAAGGAUUCAGCAACAAUCAAGAACGAGGGCCUGGCGGUGAGAAAACACGAGGAGGGCACCGAAGAGAAGAUAGUAGCCAGUCAAGAUUUCCAGAAGAAGAUCAUACCCCACCGGGACUUGGAGCAAGCAGCGAGCAGCAACGGCGCGGUCAUGGGCAACAACGACAUCUCACGACUGCUCUUCGAGAUGGAGGAAGACGACGACACGUUCAACCUGGCGGUGGAGUCGAGGAAGGAGGCGGCGGAGACGGUGAGGCAGAGUCGGCAGGAUCUGAUCGUGGUGGCGUCGCUGGUGGAGCGGAUCCCGAACCUGGCGGGGCUGACCCGGACGUGCGAGAUAUUCAGGGCGGGCGGGCUGGCGGUGGAGGACAUGGGGGUGGUCCAGGACAAGCAGUUCCGGCUGAUCAGCGUGACGGCGGAGAAGUGGGUGCCGAUGGUGGAGGUGCCGGCGGAGAGCAUGAGGGCGUUCUUGCAGAGGAAGCGGGCGGAGGGGUACACGGUGGUGGGGCUGGAGCAGACGGCCAACAGCGUGGCGCUGGACGAGUUUGUGUUCCCGGCCAAGACGGUGGUGGUGCUGGGCAGGGAGAAGGAAGGGAUCCCGGUGGACAUCAUCCAGGAGGCGGUGGACGUGUGCGUCGAGAUCCCGCAGCUUGGCCGUCCGGUCACUCAACGUACAUGUCAGCGCCGCCAUCGCCAUCUGGGACUACACCCGCCAGCAGCGCGUCCGCUCCUCCUCCUCCUCCUCCUCGCUGUAGGUAGCUUCCGGUUCUCCUUCCUGUUGGAGUAA
RNAcentral lists this ribosomal RNA (1539 nucleotides) under Triticum aestivum (bread wheat). Its description in RNAcentral is "partial small subunit ribosomal RNA". The record is from RNAcentral. Lineage: Eukaryota; Viridiplantae; Streptophyta; Magnoliopsida; Poales; Poaceae.